RNAcentral lists this small RNA (81 nucleotides) under Xanthomonas campestris. RNAcentral describes it as "sX9 sRNA". It matches the Rfam family "Xanthomonas sRNA sX9". RNAcentral also lists the same sequence under 2 other names. Lineage: Bacteria; Pseudomonadati; Pseudomonadota; Gammaproteobacteria; Lysobacterales; Lysobacteraceae. The record is from RNAcentral.
AUGUGCCACUCGUACACUGCGGUUCCUGUGCGCCGUCCACGCCCAUCUGAGGGCUGCUCGCCGAAGAACGGGGUCAGAUUC